This is a non-coding RNA of Equus caballus (horse), 2927 nucleotides long. The record is from RefSeq and is a predicted model, not a curated record. Lineage: Eukaryota; Metazoa; Chordata; Mammalia; Perissodactyla; Equidae.
GGCGCGGCGGGGCCGGGGCCCGGGCCGGCGCGGGCAAUCGCCCGAGCGCGGAGGCAGGAGGCGCUCGGCAGCGCGGGGGCGCGGGAGGGCUGCACGCUGCUUCCCCGCCAGUGGGUGGUCCUGCAUCUCCCCGGGCUCCCCGCGCCGCUCUGCUCGUGCGAUCAAUAAAUAAGGAGAAAAUAAAUAAAUAACCGCGCGCACGCCCCGCCACGCAGGUUAUGAAAGGCGUCUCCUGCCUUUCUCUCGACUUGACCUUUCUCCGCCCCCGCCCCCUUGGGCUCCUCUCGCUCCACCCCAGCCACCCACCAGCCCCGGCGCAAAAUGUCACCGAGGGAGAGCAUCCAGGUGGAUCUGCCGGGGAAGAGAGAGAGCCUCGAUGAACAAAGGGAAGCUUCACGCACUCGGCUGCGGUGGUUUGAUUACUAUUGUAACUCUCCAAAAGACUCAUAGAAAAUCAAGCUGAUUUACUACUAAGAUGUACAGUGGAAAAAAAAUUACCUUAACAAUGAGACAAAUGAUCCACAUUGCUAUAAUUGUGUAAGAAGUGCUUUCUCAAUGUGCUUACUAUACUUGAUCCUCAAAAAGGCCUUAUGAGAACUCCCACUGACUUUAAAAAGAGUUCCAUGUACAUGGAUUUGGGGAGAGCAACCUGCUUGGAAUGCUUGUUAAGAUCGGCUGAACUACAGUGAAGCUCACAGCCAGCCCGCCCCGCUCAUCAUCGGUUCAUGGCAUCAAAGUAGAUUUACAGUCCUCUAAACCAAAAGAUUACCAGAUAUAAAAGGAAACUUCUAACCUGAAAAUGAGAGAACCAUCACUAACAACAACAAGAAAAUAAAUAUUUAACUUAGAAGAAGGAGAGACGGUUUUGGAAAAAAAAGACCUAUUAUCAUCAUUAACCUCAAAGAGGCAAGAAAAACAUGAUUGUUACCAUGCAACAAGAACAAGACUGUACAUGUGUCUAAAAAGCUGCAUUCCAGAACAUAAAAUAGCUCUUGGAAAUGAAAAAUAUGUUAGCAAGUCCUGAUUGAAAUGUGGGAAAUAAGGUUGAACAAAUUUCCAGAAAAGAACAAAAAUGCGAUGAGAUCAAAAUAAGGAGAACUUAUAACACAAUUAAAGACCAGCCCACGACAUCUAAUAAACAAAUCAAGAGGUGCAGAGAGCACAAAGAACAGAGGAAGAAAUGGUCAAUGAAAUGUUUCUUUUAAAAGUCCUAAAACUAAAGGACAGAAGUUUCCAGACAGAAAGGUUGUGUCUACACAGUGACUAACAAAAUAGAUGAUACAAACUCAGAAAGACACAUCAUCACUUUAUUACAAAAUUUGAGAAUACAAGGAACCAAAAGAAAAUUGUGCAAGUUUCCAGAAAGAGAGAGGAAAACAUACAACACAUACACACAAAGUCUUCAAUGAAGCCUGGCUUCAGACUGCUCGACUGCAUCAAGAGAAUGGAAGGCAAGAAAAGAAAUGUCCUUAAAAUUUAAAAGGAUAAUUCUUCCCAAUUAGAACUGUCUUUCAGCCAUGUGCAAGGAUAGGGUGUGUGGAGGUCGGAUGAAGGAAGUUUUACAAAUCCAAGAUCUCAAAAAUUCCACCUUUUACAUUACUAGUCUAAAGAGGCUAUUGGAGAGGGUGCUUCACCAAAAUCGGGGAGCACAAGAACUAGUUAGAAGGUUAGAAGGCCCAGGGGAGGCUGCUUCAGGAAGGUCAAAUUUAUGAAAUUCAUACGUUUCUGAAUGUCUCGAUAGGAUGUUUCAAGGUUAGCAAAGAGUUUGGGGUUAAAAUAAUACAACUGCAUAAAAAACUAAGCAAAAACAUGAGCAAAAUUUAUGGUUUUUAAUUCCAGGAAAAGUGAAGAAUUUUUCAGGAAAAUAAAGUAAAAAAUAAUUUUAGAGCUCACUAUGAAUAUGUUUACAUGCCCUAGCAAACUAAUAAAUACCUGAAAUUGGACAAUCAAGUCACAAUACAAGAAUGUUCUGUAGAGAAAAGAAGAGAAAUUCUAAAACAGAGGGGAUAAUUGAAGAAACUGGUUGUGGGAACUAUUAUUGUUCACAGCCAACUUUGUAUAACUGACAUUAAAUAGGAACAUGAAUAAUUUUGACAAUAAUUAAAACUAAACCUUAGAAAUAUAGACUUUUCUUCACUGGUUAAACAAAUGUAAUAUGUAAAGCAAACAAUUCUUUUUUCUGACUUUAUUCUUGGAAGUCUAGGAUGCUCUGAAUUGGUGAGCCCCCCAGAAAACUAAAUUCCACUCUAGACAUUAUAUUGCAUUGUAUUAGAUGAAAAACAUCAUAAAAAGCUAGUCUGAACUCUCUAAAAAUACAUGUAGAUUAACCAAAGUUUUACCAAAAUAUAAACUGUUAUUCUUACUGCUAUUAUCAUUAUACUUCUAUAUUCAGGUUGAAGAAGAAAAAGUUCACUGAUUGUGUGGGAUGUUUUGCUUUUGUUCCUCCAGAUACGCAUUUCAUCUUCUCUGCCUGCUCUCUGCCCUCGCAAACAGUGCUUUAUAGAUGAUGUCUCUGCGCUUCCAGCCUUGUCUAUCAGGUUGGAUUUUUAAAAAUGGACAACCAACGCAGGAAGUCAGAAGGAGGGAGGAGAGUGAAAUCAGGGCAUUUGCUCUGACAGCCCCACUAGGAUGCCUGGGCUGGCUGUGCCCCUCGGUUGAAUUUUAUUGUUCCUCCCAAGUCCAUUGAUUCUAUAGGACUCUUUCCUCCCAGAUUCGAGUAAUUAGUCUUUCUCCUCCUGCCUGUGAUCUCCAACCCCCUCCACAUUAUGGCAUUAUCCUUCUUGGUUCCUCUAUUUCCACUCUCUGUAAAUAACCCUUCGAUAAACAAACAGUCCAUGUGAUGUAUCCUAUUUUGAACGUGUUCAUGGAUUUCUGUUGGAAUCUGGUGGGUAUGGUAAAAUAUGAUUAAAUGUAUUGACAUUAAACAA